AUGAUGGCCGCUUUUCUCCUGCUCGUGCUCGGCUCGCUGGCCCCCGCCGCCCUCUCCGUCCCGCCCCGCCCGCCAGUGCGCUGCGGCGGCGACGGCGAUGGCGACGCGGGCUGCGUGCUCUCCAACGCGUACGGCGCGUGGUCGAGCGACCGCGCCGACUGCCCCGUGGCGGCCGUCGCGUACCCGGCGUCCGAGCGGGACGUGGUCGCGGCCGUCGCGCGUGCCAGCGCGGGCGGCAUGCGGGUCAAGGCCGUCAGCGGCUUCGCGCACACCAUCCCGAAGCUGGCCUGCCCCGGCGGGAACGGCAGCGCGGCGUCUCUGCUGAUCAGCACGGCGAGGUACGCCGGCGUGGAGGUGGACGCGGCGGCGCGGACGGUGACCGCGGACGCCGGCGCCCCGCUGCGGGCCGUGAUCGACGCGGCGGAGGCGAGCGGGCUGAGCCUGCCGGCGUCGCCCUACUGGGAGGGGGUGAGCGUCGGCGGGGCUGUGAGCACGGGGUCCCACGGCAGCUCGUGGUGGGGCCAGGGCGGCGCCUUGCAUGAUCAUGUCGUGCGGCUCAGCCUUGUCGUGCCCGCCGGAGUUGCCGACGGGUGGGCCAGGGUGGUGCCGCUCGCCAAAGGUGACGCGCUCUUUCCAGCGGCGCUCGUCUCGCUCGGCCUGCUCGGGGUCAUUUCCAAGGUCACUCUGGCGCUGGAGCCGAGGUUCAAGAGAAGCGUGACCUACGACUACAGGGACGACUCCACCUUCCAGGACGACUUCGCGGACCACGCCGCGCGCCACGAGUUCGCCGACAUCGCCUGGUACCCGUCCCAGCACCAGGCCGUGUACAGGCUCGACGACCGCGCGCCGCUCAACGCCACCGGCGCCGGGGUCAACGACUUCAUCGGCUUCCGCUCCACGCUCAUCGCGGUCUCCCAGGGGGUCAGGGCGCUGGAGACCGCGUUGGAGGGGUCGAGGAACGUGAAGGGCAAGUGCGCGAUGGCCACGGCGGAGAUCGCGGCGAAGCGGCUGAUCGGCAACGGGCUGCGCCGAAAGGACGGGCAGCUGUUCACCGGCUACCCCGUCGUGGGGUUCCAGGGCAAGAUGCAGACGUCGGGCUCCUGCGCGCGCCCGCCGGCCUCCAGCCCGCUCACGGCGUGCGCGUGGGACCCCAGGUUCAAGGGGCUCUUCUUCUACGAGAGCACGGCCAUCUUCUCGCCGGCGCGGUUCCAGUCCUUCAUCCUCGACGUGAAGAAGCUGCGCGACCUCAACCCGGACAGCAUGUGCGGCGUGGACGUCUACAACGGCCUCCUGGUCCGGUUCGUGCGGAGGUCGGAGGCGUGGCUGGGGCAGCCGGAGGACUCAGUGGUGGUGGACUUCAACUACUACCGCGCGGCGGACCCAUCGGCGGCGCGGCUGAGCCAGGACGUCUGGGAGGAGGUGGAGCAGCUGGCGUUCUUCAAGCACGGGGCGCGGCCGCACUGGGCCAAGAACAGGAUGGUGGCCUUCCGGGGCGUGCAGGGGAAGUACCUGGGAUGGGCCAAGUUCGCCGCGGCCAAGCGGCAGCUGGACCCGCGGGGACUGUUCGACAGCCCGUGGUCCGACGACGUCGUCGGCGGCAAGGAGCUCAGCAAGGACGACGGGUGCGCGCUGGACGGGCGGUGCGUCUGCUCGGAGGACAGACACUGCAGCCCGGGGCAAGGGUACUACUGCAGAACGGGGCUUGUGUUUACAGAGGCCAGGGUAUGCAGAUACUCUGCCUCGCAGCUUGUAUAG
RNAcentral lists this ribosomal RNA (1755 nucleotides) under Triticum aestivum (bread wheat). RNAcentral describes it as "partial small subunit ribosomal RNA". The record is from RNAcentral. Lineage: Eukaryota; Viridiplantae; Streptophyta; Magnoliopsida; Poales; Poaceae.